Molecule: ribosomal RNA, 231 nt
Filed under: uncultured bacterium
Lineage: Bacteria
Description: partial 16S ribosomal RNA
Rfam family: Bacterial small subunit ribosomal RNA
Source: RNAcentral
UACGAAGGGGGCUAGCGUUGCUCGGAAUGACUGGGCGUAAAGCGCGUGUAGGCGGGGAGGCCAAGUCUGAUGGUGAAAUCGCUCGGCUUAACUGGGCGGGGUCCAUGGAAACUGGUCACCUGGAGGUCGGUAGAGGCAAGUGGAAUUCCCGGUGUAGUGGUGAAAAUGCGCAGAGUAUCGAGGAGGAACACCGGUGGCGAAGGCGGGGUCUCUGGGCCGAUGAACUGACGC